Molecule: long non-coding RNA, 287 nt
Filed under: Gopherus agassizii (Agassiz's desert tortoise)
Lineage: Eukaryota; Metazoa; Chordata; Testudines; Testudinidae
Description: lncRNA (ENSGAGG00000005413.1)
Source: RNAcentral
GCCCCACGGCUCUCAGGGCGGCCCCCGGGCAGACGGGCGGGGCCCGGCGCAGCCCCGCUCGCGGGAGGAGCCGGAGCCCCCAUCCCGUCGCAGGGCAUCCUGUGUGCUGAAUCACAUUCCUUCCAGCUCCCUCUGGUUGUCAGUGGACAAACCCAGCUUGACAUUUUUCCGCAUCUUCCAUUGACUUCCAUCAGCAACACAACAAAGUACUCCUGCUCAUAUUGUUAGCCUGCUAAUGUUAGUGGACCAUCCAGAUAUCUAGAAUCAUGCAGGAAAAGGAACUACAG